Molecule: long non-coding RNA, 488 nt
Organism: Hydra vulgaris (swiftwater hydra)
Lineage: Eukaryota; Metazoa; Cnidaria; Hydrozoa; Anthoathecata; Hydridae
Source: RefSeq, a predicted model, not a curated record
AACUUUCCCAGAAGUGGCGCUGAACUACGGAUCUCUAGUUUCUGAGGCAAGUGCGCUAACCACUGAGCUACGGCUGCUUAUUUAAGAACAUUACCAGUUAUUCUAUAAUAUUGUAAUUUGUUUAUAAGAACUUCAUGAUCUAUGAAUACAGAAAUAAGAAUACAGACAAAGACAAAUAAUAUAGAAAGAGUGACAAAGAAUACAGAAAGAUUUGAACUUUGAAGAACUAUCAAAAAACAUCUGAAGUAUUGUUUUUAUUCGAAAUCGUCUUUUUUUAUGAUGUACAAUUGAAUGCAAAUGUAGUCAAAACUUUCAAUAAAUUGAUUGCAAUUGACUAUUUAUCAAUGUAAUUUUUGAAUAUUACAUUGUAUAGUGUGUUUUAGUUGUAUAACCAGUUUUAAAUUGUAAAAAAUGACACAUUUUUAUAAUACAAGGUAAAUAAUACAUUUGUAUACUCUAAGGGUUAUGGAGCAAUUUUCUUUUUAUAA